GGGAUACAGCUCACUGGUAGAGCCCUUGCCUAGCAUGAGUGAGGCCCUGGGUUCAAUCCCCAGUACUCCCC
This 71-nucleotide transfer RNA is filed under the name Marmota monax (woodchuck). RNAcentral's name for it is "tRNA.Ala". The record is from RNAcentral. Lineage: Eukaryota; Metazoa; Chordata; Mammalia; Rodentia; Sciuridae.